AUGCAGGUACAUGACACUAUUGUGUUGUCUGUAGAGGUUCUCAUUCUGAAAGAAACUGCAACUAUGCAAGAGCUUAUUGACGGAGAUUAUGAAAUUUGCAGUUCAAGUUCUGGACAUCAGAUUGAUACUUUACCAAAGGUGCACCAAUCGGCCCUCCGUCUCCUAGGGUGA
Molecule: ribosomal RNA, 171 nt
Filed under: Triticum aestivum (bread wheat)
Lineage: Eukaryota; Viridiplantae; Streptophyta; Magnoliopsida; Poales; Poaceae
Description: partial small subunit ribosomal RNA
Source: RNAcentral